AUUGAACGCUGGCGGCAGGCUUAACACAUGCAAGUCGAGCGGGGGAAGGUAGCUUGCUACCGGACCUAGCGGCGGACGGGUGAGUAAUGCUUAGGAAUCUGCCUAUUAGUGGGGGACAACAUCUCGAAAGGGAUGCUAAUACCGCAUACGUCCUACGGGAGAAAGCAGGGGAUCCUCGGACCUUGCGCUAGUAGAUGAGCCCAAGUCGGAUUAGCUAGUUGGUGGGGUAAAGGCCUACCAAGGCGACGAUCUGUAGCGGGUCUGAGAGGAUGAUCCGCCACACUGGGACUGAGACACGGCCCAGACUCCUACGGGAGGCAGCAGUGGGGAAUAUUGGACAAUGGGGGAACCCUGAUCCAGCCAUGCCGCGUGUGUGAAGAAGGCCUUAUGGUUGUAAAGCACUUUAAGCGAGGAGGAGGCUACUUUAGUUAAUACCUAGAGAUAGUGGACGUUACUCGCAGAAUAAGCACCGGCUAACUCUGUGCCAGCCGCCGCAGUAA
This 500-nucleotide ribosomal RNA is filed under the name uncultured bacterium. RNAcentral's name for it is "partial 16S ribosomal RNA". It matches the Rfam family "Bacterial small subunit ribosomal RNA", at positions 30 to 523 of the family's 1533-position model. The record is from RNAcentral.